UGGGGAAUUUUCCGCAAUGGGCGCAAGCCUGACGGAGCAACGCCGCGUGAGGGAGGAAGGCCUGUGGGUUGUAAACCUCUUUUCUCAGGGAAGAAGCUCUGACGGUACCUGAGGAAUCAGCAUCGGCUAACUCCGUGCCAGCAGCCGCGGUAAGACGGAGGAUGCAAGCGUUAUCCGGAAUUAUUGGGCGUAAAGCGUCCGCAGGUGGCUAGUCAAGUCUGCUGUCAAAGACCAGGGCUUAACCCUGGGCCGGCAGUGGAAACUGGUUAGCUGGAGUACGGUAGGGGUAGAGGGAAUUCCUGGUGUAGCGGUGAAAUGCGUAGAUAUCAGGAAGAACACCGGUGGCGAAAGCGCUCUACUGGGCCGUGACUGACACUGAGGGACGAAAGCUAGGGGAGCGAAAG
RNAcentral lists this ribosomal RNA (404 nucleotides) under uncultured bacterium. RNAcentral describes it as "bacterial SSU rRNA". It matches the Rfam family "Bacterial small subunit ribosomal RNA", at positions 355 to 774 of the family's 1533-position model. The record is from RNAcentral.